UACGUAGGGGGCUAGCGUUGUCCGGAUUUAUUGGGCGUAAAGAGCGUGUAGGCGGCCAGGUAGGUCUGGUGUGAAAACUCGAGGCUUAACCUCGAGAUGUCAUCGGAAACCAUCUGGCUAGAGUCCGGAAGAGGAGAGUGGAAUUCCUGGUGUAGCGGUGAAAUGCGCAGAUAUCGGGAAGAACACCCGUGGCGAAGGCGGCUCACUGGCCCGAUACUGACGCUGAGGUGCGAAAGCGUGGGGAGCAAACAGG
This 253-nucleotide ribosomal RNA is filed under the name uncultured bacterium. RNAcentral describes it as "partial 16S ribosomal RNA". It matches the Rfam family "Bacterial small subunit ribosomal RNA", at positions 524 to 776 of the family's 1533-position model. The record is from RNAcentral.